Molecule: RNA transcript, 4541 nt
Organism: Amaranthus tricolor (Joseph's coat)
Lineage: Eukaryota; Viridiplantae; Streptophyta; Magnoliopsida; Caryophyllales; Amaranthaceae
Exons: 15
Source: RefSeq, a predicted model, not a curated record
GUAAGUGUUAGAAGUGUAAAUUGAAUAGGGAAAAUUGUUAGACCUAAAAAAGAAAUUUUUUUUAUGUAAAAAAUAUUUUUUUUUGUCAAAAACUACCUAGAAAAUUUAAAUUUAUUUUUUUUGUCAAAGAGUACCUACUAACGAUUAGUAUCCAAAAUUCCGUUAGUAAAUCAUGACUUGACAAUAAAAAAAGAAAAAAUCAGAAAAAUAAAAAAAUCAUUGCCACGAAAGGACUGCCUUAAUUUGUUGGUUCAAUGUUGUGUGAUGGGAGAUAUUAUCUAGCUUGCCGAACUUUAUGGUUUAUGCCGAAUUUGGUUGAUUUUUUUUUCUUUUUUUGGUCAUGAUUAAGCUUUAUUGACAGAAGUGGAGUUUUGCAAGUUUUUAGUUUGGAGGGGUAUUGUUUAUGGUCUCAGUUAACCGGAAUGAAUUCGAUUUUUUGGGUUUCAAUCGAACAAAUCAAGGUCAAAUGGAACAUGAAUCUAUGAACUUAAAGUCUAAUUUUUCUGAUUUUUUUUUUUUUUAAAUCUUGAUUUUCUAACAAAUUUUGGAUGGUAACCGUUAAUAGGUACUCCUUGACAACAAAAAUAAAUUUUCUAGGUAGUUUUUGACCAAGAAAAAUGUUCUAGGUAGUUUUUCACAAAAGUAACCUUUUUCUAGGUGGUUUCUGAUAAUUUUUCCCAUUGAAUAUUUACGGUUUGUAUCAAGGAUAAAAAUAAUGGUAGUAUGUACUACUUUUAUGUAUUUUGGUGUUAGGACAGCUUUAUAGAAGCUUUUGAUAAGUGUUAUUAUUGUUUAAUAAUGAUGGUGUUGAUGGUUAGAAAUAGUUUGGGUUGUAUGUCACUUUUAAUAGUUGUUAAAUGUUAAUUUUAUUAUGUGUAUGGUGAUGGAUAUGAUUAUUGUUAUUGUUUGGUGGUUAAUUGUCUUUGUUGAAGAAUUUGUUAAUUGUGGGUACAUUUUUUAUGUUUAAUUGCCAUCGUUAGUUUAUUCAAUUGUUGUUCCAAGUUGUGUAAUGUGGCCAAAUCAUAGAAAAUUAGUGCUAUGAGUUUCUAAGCUACUAAUUGCUUUGUUCUUAUUCUUUGUCGCUUCAAACCUUGAGGAAUGUUUCAAAUUUGAUUGAAAAUUAUCAUCAUAAUGAGUUAAGUCAUUAAAAACAAGUGUAACCAUUACGUUAUACGAAUUAAGUACACAUAGUCUUGUUUUAUUGCCAAAGUGAAUGAAUUGAAUCUUUCUCUCUUGAAUAUACCUUGUUUUAGAAUUGAAUGAAAACUAAUGUUAUGGUUAGAUUGAAUUAAUGGUAUAGUUCAUGAGUAAACAUGUUGUGUGUAUGGUUAGACUUUAGAGUGCGUUUUCAGAUGAGUUGUAACUUGUAAGGAUGGUAGUGUAGUGGGGUACUUCUUAGAGAAAGUAGCUUUUAAAUGAAGUCAAGUAGACUUACUAGUCUUACUUUAAACUUGUAUAGGUGUCUGGUUUAUAAAGGGGGCGUAAGAAUCUCUUUCGAAGUGAUUGAUGCUGUAAUACCCCAGAUUUAGCUUGAAAAAGGAUUGAUAGACUACUCAUAUCAACAAGGUGCAUCUUCUUUUCUAGGAGCCCAUUUGCUAAGAACUCCACAGUUAAGCGUGCUUGGUGGAGAGCAAUCUUAGGAUGGGUGACCUCCUGGGAAGUUUUCCCGGGUGCGCACGAGUGAGGCCAAAGUGCGCUGGAAAGACUUGUGUUGGUUUGUGGGGCUAGUCUACAGUCUCGAUGAGUAGUCACCAGCGGUCCGAGGGGCCGGGGUGUUACAGAUGCGAUUUGUUGUCUUGCAGUUGCGGCAUUUGUACUAUCGUAUUCAUGGAGAAUUCAAAUCGAUUGACAUGGCAAGGUUGCAGUGUGUUGCUUGAUAUUAACGAUGGCGAGCGUGUUGUUUUCGCUCGCCUUUCAGCUGCCGCGACUUUGAAGAUUGGCAAGCAAAAUUAUUCUCUGCGUCCAAUAAUAGGUUGUCCUUUUGGCUCGCUAUUUCGAGUUGAAAAUGGGAAAGAUGGACCUUAUCUUAUUCGCGUUGUACCAAACGAAGUAGGAUUGGGUAAUAAUAUUCAGGAUGGAGAAAAUGAGCAAGUUGAGGACGGUGAGGAAUUGAAGGACAAUAGAGCUUUAGUUGAUAACAACACUGCUCAAAGUCUCACCGGGGAUGACAUAGAUGAAAUGCGAAGACAGGGUGCAACAGGAGGCCAAAUCGUGGAAGCUUUGAUCGCCCAUAGCACGACUUUUGAGAAGAAGACUUCUUUUUCGCAGGAAAAGUAUCGGCUUCGUAAGCAAAAAAAAUAUGCUCCUACGGUAUUGGUUAGGCGUCCAUUUGCUCGUAGCAUAUGUGAUGCAUACUUCAGGAAGGUUCCUACCAAAAUAGGGUGCUUGCGAUCAGAUUCUUUGUCUCUUCUGCUUUCAUUGGCCAAUGUCACUGCACACUCCGAUGUUUUGGUGGUAGACAUGGUUAGUGGGAUUGUUACUGGGGCUGUAGCAGAACGUUUAGGAGGCUUUGGAUAUAUUUGUAACACACAUCUUGGUGUUGCACCUUAUCCUAUGGAUAUAGUGAGGAUCUUUAAUUUCAGUGAUGAUAUAUGCAAGAGGAUUGUUCGUUGUUGUCUCAAUGAUUUAUGCCCUGCUCAAAAUGGAAGCCAUGUAAAAGCUCAGAACGUGGUAACUGUUGUGGAAAAUCAGCCAGAUAUCAUUGAAGAAGACGCUUCCACGGAAGAAAACAAGGCAUUAGUUGAUACUUCAAGCAAAACAACCAAUAAAAAUUCCAUGAAUUCUAAAUCAAUUAAUGCAGGAGAAAUCGCUUCAGAAGAGCUUAUUACUUCAUGGAAAGAAAAGGGUUUCUCUAGCUUAAUUGUUGCUGCUCCAGAGCUGGAUGUCUGGAGCAUAUUGCAAAAGUUACUACCACAUCUAUCAUAUUCUGCCUCUUUUGCAAUCUAUCACCAAUAUCUCCAGCCUCUUGCAAUUUGCAUGCAUAAUUUACAAAAGGAAAAAUUGGCUCUUGGAUUGCAAAUAUCGGAGCCUUGGCUCCGAGAAUAUCAGGUGAAAACAUCAUCAAAAUAAUCACACUAUAUUUGGAUGAGGAGUAAUGGAAGGAAAGAAAGGAGAGGGAAAAGGAGGGAUUACAUAUCCUUUAUUUGUUUACCAGUAGGGGACCAGAGGGAAAUGGAGGGAAAGAAAUUAGGAGGAGAAACACCUUCACAUUGUGAAACAAAAUAAAUAAAUUCUUCCUACGUUAGAAAGAUUUAGAAAGGUAUUGCCAUCAAGAACACAUCCUCGUAUGCAGAUGAGUGCCUGUGGUGGAUAUAUUCUUAGUGGAAUAAAGACUUGUUCAAAUCAGCCUGAUAUCCAAUGAUACUCUCAUAAAGGGCGAUGUUUUGUGGAUGGCAGACGCCUCCAAUUAGGCAAUAUCCUGUUUGUUUUAGUCACUAUUAUAGAUAUGUAAUCAAAUACGCUCUUUAUCUCUUAUUUUGCGGGGCUUUUCGUUUUCCACACGUGUCAUUAUUCUUAAUAGAUAGGAACAAACAGUGGAGACUAAUAUCAUGAUUAUUAAAAUUAAUUCUCUUAAUUGUAAAUUAGUUUUAGACAAGGUUGAUUAAAGUAUAUUUUUAUUAGCAACCGAUUUUGAUUAUGUAUAGGUGGGGAUUAAAGCCUUGAUCUUGUUGUCAUUAACUCAUCAUCGUGUACUAUUGAAUGGUUAUAGUCUCUUGUGAAUAUGCUUUCACUUGCUUAUUUUUAGAGGUGUUCACCCGAGCAAUUGAUUUGAUUUUGAUUGGUUAAGUAUUGAUUCAUGUGAUAUUGGGUUGUUUGUAAUUGGGUGAUAAAAACAUAUUGCUCACAUGUUUCGGUUUUGGUAAAAAUGUGUGGUUGAUGAAACAUUUUGUUUCACAUGUUUCGUUUUUGGUGAAAAAUGUUUGGUAUGAAAUUGGGUAUGGAUUAAAAUUUGUUUAGUGCAUAUAUUUAUUUGAUACUUUGAAGAAGAAUUAGUUCAAAACAUGGGUAAUGUUAGGUUGGCUGAUAUUAAAUUGAGGGUUCGAUAAUGAAAAUAUAAGUGUAAUGUAAUUUAACUAAAAAAAUAACAUGAUAAAUUCAUGGUUUUAUUUGUUCUACUCUAAUUAAUUUUUUUAUUUUAUAAAUUCAUACCAUUUAUAGAUUUAAUCAUGUACUACCACUUUGUAAUGCAUUGUAUGAAGUCUCUGACGUGUAUUGGUUUAUGUUCUUUAACAGGUUGACUUGCAGGUGGGGCUAGUGUGAGGAAUCAAGCAGUAGAACCUGUAGACUUAUGUUAUUUUUGUCAAAUAAACUUUAUUGUUUUUUAAUUUUAUUUUGCAAGUACGCUUUUAUAUUGAACAUUAAUUAGUUUCGGAUGAGACUAGUAGGUUCUCGAGUUGUAAACCUUAAGACUUCUACUGGUUUAUUAUUUUCGUAAUUGUUAUUUAUUUCUUUAUCACUAGAACACCGGCGGUCCUAAAAGCGGUUUAACUUAAAUAUUCUAAGUGGGACCCAUAAUUCAUAUUUAAAUGUGAACAUACGGU